RNAcentral lists this ribosomal RNA (301 nucleotides) under uncultured bacterium. RNAcentral's name for it is "partial 16S ribosomal RNA". It matches the Rfam family "Bacterial small subunit ribosomal RNA", at positions 509 to 807 of the family's 1533-position model. The record is from RNAcentral.
CAGCCGCCACGGGAAUACGUAGGUGGCAAGCGUUGUCCGGAAUUAUUGGGCGUAAAGGGCUCGCAGGCGGUUUCUUAAGUCUGAUGUGAAAGCCCCCGGCUCAACCGGGGAGGGUCAUUGGAAACUGGGAAACUUGAGUGCAGAAGAGGAGAGUGGAAUUCCACGUGUAGCGGUGAAAUGCGUAGAGAUGUGGAGGAACACCAGUGGCGAAGGCGACUCUCUGGUCUGUAACUGACGCUGAGGAGCGAAAGCGUGGGGAGCGGACAGGAUUAGAUACCCCAGUAGUCCCUGUCUCUUAUAC